GCUGUGCGUCAACCCCAAAGCGUCAAAAACUGAAGCUUGGUCAAGCGCCUCUAGCGUCACUGACAUGAGAUGUUUAUCGCUUUGAAAUCACGUUCAAGAAGUCUCAUUCAGCACACAUCGCGAUACUUUCCAUCAGUUUGCAAGAGCCGCAGGUUGGGUGAGUUAUACAGUCUAUGGUGAGUAGUAGUAAAUAUGCUCUUUUAAUGCCUGUCCUAAAACGUAUUCUGUCUUCUUUAUUAAUCAGAUGGGCGCCUUAUGUUUACUCUCUGUAUUACAUCGGUCAUCCGAGGCUGUCUUUGAGUUUCAUUGUGUUUAACUAAAUGAACACAGCUGCUAACUGGUUAAACUCUAUCGGUCACGUGACGUGACGUGACGUGCCACAGACCUGGGAUCCGUUUUAUAUUAAUUUCAGGUUCAAAGAUCUGAAAAGACGUAAAGUAAGCAGUCACCCCAGUGGUGUUUGUGGAGAGGUAUUCCUUCAGAAAUGGAGAAGACAGAAAGCUGCAGAGGCAGGAUUGUUUGCAGAUAAUGCUGUUCUUCUUUUUCAGAAGUUUUUGGGGAGCCAACCCUCACAAAC
Long non-coding RNA from Carassius gibelio (silver crucian carp), 577 nucleotides. RefSeq lists it as uncharacterized. The transcript is spliced from 3 exons. Lineage: Eukaryota; Metazoa; Chordata; Actinopteri; Cypriniformes; Cyprinidae. The record is from RefSeq and is a predicted model, not a curated record.